GCUCCGGUGGCCUAGCGGUUAGAGCGUCCGCCUAAUAUGUGGGAGGUAGUGGGUUAGAACCCAGGCAGAGUCA
Non-coding RNA from Potamilus streckersoni, 73 nucleotides. The record is from the annotation of a GenBank genome assembly. NCBI's taxonomy places the organism in Eukaryota, Metazoa, Mollusca, Bivalvia, Unionida, Unionidae.